UAACGAAUAUUGGGCAAUGGGCGCAAGCCUGACCCAGCGACGCCGCGUGUGGGAAGAAGUUCUUCGGAAUGUAAACCACUGUCAGGGAUUACCAAGCAAGUGCGCCUAACAUGCGCGCAAGUUGAGGCAUCCCAGAGGAAGCCACGGCUAACUUCGUGCCAGCAGCCGCGGUAAUACGGAGGGUGCAAGCGUUGUUCGGAAUCACUGGGCGUAAAGGGCGCGUAGGCGGUUUGAUAAGUCAGAUGUGAAAGCCCACGGCUUAACUGUGGAAGUGCAUUUGAAACUGUCAGACUUGAGAGUGGGAGAGGGAGGUGGAAUUCCGGGUGUAGUGGUGAAAUGCGUAGAUAUCCGGAGGAACACCAGUGGCGAAAGCGGCCUCCUGGCCCAUUUCUGACGCUCAGACGCGAAAGCCAGGGGAGCAAACG
RNAcentral lists this ribosomal RNA (425 nucleotides) under uncultured prokaryote. Its description in RNAcentral is "bacterial SSU rRNA". It matches the Rfam family "Bacterial small subunit ribosomal RNA", at positions 355 to 774 of the family's 1533-position model. The record is from RNAcentral.